Molecule: non-coding RNA, 116 nt
Filed under: Schinkia azotoformans LMG 9581
Lineage: Bacteria; Bacillati; Bacillota; Bacilli; Caryophanales; Bacillaceae
Description: Bacillus azotoformans LMG 9581 Glycine riboswitch aptamer
Rfam family: Glycine riboswitch aptamer
About the family: This family represents the bacterial glycine riboswitch. Glycine riboswitches usually consist of two metabolite-binding aptamers domains with similar structures in tandem. The aptamers cooperatively bind glycine to regulate the expression of downstream genes.
Source: Rfam by way of RNAcentral
AUGAUAACAUGGGGAGAGACCACAGCUUUCAAGUUUAACUACGUUUACAUGUGGCGCCGAAGGAGCAAGCAACAAGAAGUUGUGAAUCUCUCAGGCAAAAAGACUCUUGUUGGACG